GCACCAUCCCCUGGGCUGCCAGCUGAGCUAGAAAAGGCAGACAGAAGAAGAUGACUAAGCAGACUUUCUGAGUCUUCCAGCCUUUCUCCUGUAUUGAAUGCUUUUUGCCUUGAACAUCAGACUCCAAGCUCUUCAGCUUUUGGACUCUUGGACUUACACCAGUGGUUUGCCAGGGACCCUCGGGCCUUUGGCCACAGACUGAAGGCUGCACUGUCAGUUUCCCUACUUUUGAGGUUUUGGGACUCAGACUGAUCUGCCACUGGCUUCCUUGGUCCUCAACUAGCAGACAGCCUAUCAUGGAACUUUACCUUGUGAUGGUGGAGAAACAAGAGCUCUUUCUUUUACACCAAAGAGAGGCCACGUGAGGACAUAAUGAAAAGAAGGCCAUCAGCAAAAAAAGAAGAGGACGGUCACCAGACUCCAAAUCUACUGGCACCUUGAUUCUGGACUUCCUAUUCUCCAGAACUGUGAGAAUUAAAUGUAUGUUGUUUAAGCCUCCCAGCCAACUAUUUUGUUAUAGCAGCCUGAACUGACUGACACAUAUGGAUAUUCUAUAAUUUGUUUUUUCACUCAUCUGUUGAUGGGCAUUUGAGUUAUUUAUAAUUUGGGGGUAUUAAAAAUCAAUAUUCUAUGACAAUUUAAGUGCAAGUUUUCUGUUGAGU
This 662-nucleotide long non-coding RNA is filed under the name Homo sapiens (human). Its description in RNAcentral is "HSALNT0301944". Lineage: Eukaryota; Metazoa; Chordata; Mammalia; Primates; Hominidae. The record is from RNAcentral.